RNAcentral lists this ribosomal RNA (456 nucleotides) under uncultured bacterium. Its description in RNAcentral is "bacterial SSU rRNA". It matches the Rfam family "Bacterial small subunit ribosomal RNA", at positions 28 to 507 of the family's 1533-position model. The record is from RNAcentral.
GACGAACGCUGGCGGCGUGCCUAACACAUGCAAGUCGAACGGAGCAGUAGUAAUAUUGCUUAGUGGCGGACGGGCGAGUAACGCGUGAGCAAUCUGCCUUAUACUGGGGGAUAACGUCGGGAAACCGGCGCUAAUACCGCAUAACACUACGAGAUCGCAUGGUCAUGUAGUCAAAACUCCGGUGGUAUAAGAUGAGCUCGCGUCCAAUUAGCUAGUUGGUGAGGUAAUGGCCCACCAAGGCGACGAUUGGUAGCCGAACUGAGAGGUUGAUCGGCCGCAUUGGGACUGAGACACGGCCCAGACUCCUACGGGAGGCAGCAGUGGGGAAUAUUGCGCAAUGGAGGAAACUCUGACGCAGCAACGCCGCGUGAAGGAUGAAGGUUUUCGGAUUGUAAACUUCUUUGAUCGGGGACGAAAAUGACGGUACCCGAGGAACAAGCCACGGCUAACUACGUG